RNAcentral lists this ribosomal RNA (253 nucleotides) under uncultured bacterium. RNAcentral describes it as "partial 16S ribosomal RNA". It matches the Rfam family "Bacterial small subunit ribosomal RNA", at positions 524 to 776 of the family's 1533-position model. The record is from RNAcentral.
UACGUAGGGUGCAAGCGUUAAUCGGAAUUACUGGGCGUAAAGCGUGCGCAGGCGGUGAUGUAAGACAGGUGUGAAAUCCCCGGGCUUAACCUGGGAACUGCAUUUGUGACUGCAUCGCUGGAGUGCGGCAGAGGGGGAUGGAAUUCCGCGUGUAGCAGUGAAAUACGUAGAUAUGCGGAGGAACACCGAUGGCGAAGGCAAUCCCCUGGGCCUGCACUGACGCUCAUGCACGAAAGCGUGGGGAGCAAACAGG